GACGAACGCUGGCGGCGUGCUUAACACAUGCAAGUCGAACGGUAAGGCCCUUCGGGGUACACGAGUGGCGAACGGGUGAGUAACUCGUGGGUGAUCUGCCCUGCACUUCGGGAUAAGCCUGGGAAACUGGGUCUAAUACCGGAUAGGACCACUGCCUGCAUGGGUGGUGGUGGAAAGCUUUUGCGGUGUGGGAUGGGCCCGCGGCCUAUCAGCUUGUUGGUGGGGUGAUGGCCUACCAAGGCGACUACGGGUAGCCGGCCUGAGAGGGUGACCGGCCACACUGGGACUGAGGUACGGCCCAGACUCCUACGGGAGGCAGCAGUGGGGAAUAUUGCACAAUGGGCGCAAGCCUGAUGCAGCGACGCCGCGUGAGGGAUGACGGCCUUCGGGUUGUAAACCUCUUUCAGCACCGACGAAGCGCAAGUGACGGUAGGUGCAGAAGAAGGACCGGCCAACUACGUGCCAGCCGCCGCAGUAA
RNAcentral lists this ribosomal RNA (478 nucleotides) under uncultured bacterium. Its description in RNAcentral is "partial 16S ribosomal RNA". It matches the Rfam family "Bacterial small subunit ribosomal RNA", at positions 28 to 523 of the family's 1533-position model. The record is from RNAcentral.